This 903-nucleotide ribosomal RNA is filed under the name uncultured marine bacterium. Its description in RNAcentral is "bacterial SSU rRNA". It matches the Rfam family "Bacterial small subunit ribosomal RNA", at positions 59 to 1009 of the family's 1533-position model. The record is from RNAcentral.
AAGUCGAACGAAGUAGCAAUACUUAGUGGCAGACGGGUGAGUAACAUGUGGGUAUCUACCCUUUGGCCUGGAAUAACACGAGGAAACUUGUGCUAAUACCGGAUAAGUCUUUACGGAGAAAGCUUUAUGCACCAUUGGAUGAGCCCGCACUUGAUUAGUUUGUUGGUAGGGUAAUGGCCUACCAAGACUAUGAUCAAUAGCUGAUUUGAGAGGAUGAUCAGCCACAUUGGGACUGAGACACGGCCCAAACUCCUACGGGAGGCAGCAGUGGGGAAUCUUGCACAAUGGAGGAAACUCUGAUGCAGCGAUGCCGCGUGAGUGAAGAAGGCCCUUGGGUUGUAAAGCUCUUUCGUCGGGGAAGAAAAUGACUGUACCCGAAUAAGAAGGUCCGGCUAACUUCGUGCCAGCAGCCGCGGUAAUACGAAGGGACCUAGCGUAGUUCGGAAUUACUGGGCUUAAAGAGUUCGUAGGUGGUUGAAAAAGUUGGUGGUGAAAUCCCAGAGCUUAACUCUGGAACUGCCAUCAAAACUUUUCAGCUAGAGUAUGAUAGAGGAAAGCAGAAUUUCUAGUGUAGAGGUGAAAUUCGUAGAUAUUAGAAAGAAUACCAAUUGCGAAGGCAGCUUUCUGGAUCAUUACUGACACUGAGGAACGAAAGCAUGGGUAGCGAAGAGGAUUAGAUACCCUCGUAGUCCAUGCCGUAAACGAUGUGUGUUAGACGUUGGAAAUUUAUUUUCAGUGUCGCAGGGAAACCGAUAAACACACCGCCUGGAGAGUACGACCGCAAGGUUAAAACUCAAAUGAAUUGACGGGGACCCGCACAAGUAGUGAGCAUGUGGUUUAAUUCGAAGAUACGCGCAGAACCUUACCAACACUUGACAUGUUCGUCGCGACUCUAAGAGAUUA